CGGUGGCGGCGUGCCUAAUACAUGCAAGUCGAACGAGUUCUCGUUGAUGAUCGGUGCUUGCACCGAGAUUCAACAUGGAACGAGUGGCGGACGGGUGAGUAACACGUGGGUAACCUGCCCUUAAGUGGGGGAUAACAUUUGGAAACAGAUGCUAAUACCGCAUAGAUCCAAGAACCGCAUGGUUCUUGGCUGAAAGAUGGCGUAAGCUAUCGCUUUUGGAUGGACCCGCGGCGUAUUAGCUAGUUGGUGAGGUAAUGGCUCACCAAGGCGAUGAUACGUAGCCGAACUGAGAGGUUGAUCGGCCACAUUGGGACUGAGACACGGCCCAAACUCCUACGGGAGGCAGCAGUAGGGAAUCUUCCACAAUGGACGCAAGUCUGAUGGAGCAACGCCGCGUGAGUGAAGAAGGCUUUCGGGUCGUAAAACUCUGUUGUUGGAGAAGAAUGGUCGGCAGAGUAACUGUUGUCGGCGUGACGGUAUCCAACCAGAAAGCCACGGCUAACUACGUGCCAGCAGCCGCGGUAAUACGUAGGUGGCAAGCGUUAUCCGGAUUUAUUGGGCGUAAAGCGAGCGCAGGCGGUUUUUUAAGUCUGAUGUGAAAGCCCUCGGCUUAACCGAGGAAGCGCAUCGGAAACUGGGAAACUUGAGUGCAGAAGAGGACAGUGGAACUCCAUGUGUAGCGGUGAAAUGCGUAGAUAUAUGGAAGAACACCAGUGGCGAAGGCGGCUGUCUGGUCUGUAACUGACGCUGAGGCUCGAAAGCAUGGGUAGCGAACAGGAUUAGAUACCCUGGGUAGUCCAUGCCCGUAAAACGAUGAAUGCUAUGUGUUGGAGGGUUUCCCCCCUUCAGUGCCGCAGCUAACGCAUUAAGCAUUCCGCCUGGGGAGUACGACCGCAAGGUUGAAACUCAAAGGAAUUGACGGGGGCCCGCACAAGCGGUGGAGCAUGUGGUUUAAUUCGAAGCAACGCGAAGAACCUUACCAGGUCUUGACAUCUUUUGAUCACCUGAGAGAUCAGGUUUCCCCUUCGGGGGCAAAAUGACAGGUGGUGCAUGGUUGUCGUCAGCUCGUGUCGUGAGAUGUUGGGUUAAGUCCCGCAACGAGCGCAACCCUUAUGACUAGUUGCCAGCAUUUAGUUGGGCACUCUAGUAAGACUGCCGGUGACAAACCGGAGGAAGGUGGGGAUGACGUCAAAUCAUCAUGCCCCUUAUGACCUGGGCUACACACGUGCUACAAUGGAUGGUACAACGAGUUGCGAGACCGCGAGGUCAAGCUAAUCUCUUAAAGCCAUUCUCAGUUCGGACUGUAGGCUGCAACUCGCCUACACGAAGUCGGAAUCGCUAGUAAUCGCGGAUCAGCACGCCGCGGUGAAUACGUUCCCGGGCCUUGUACACACCGCCCGUCACACCAUGAGAGUUUGUAACACCCGAAGCCGGUG
This 1436-nucleotide ribosomal RNA is filed under the name Lacticaseibacillus paracasei subsp. tolerans. Its description in RNAcentral is "bacterial SSU rRNA". It matches the Rfam family "Bacterial small subunit ribosomal RNA". Lineage: Bacteria; Bacillati; Bacillota; Bacilli; Lactobacillales; Lactobacillaceae. The record is from RNAcentral.